GUCUCUCUUCAGCAGCACAUACACUAAAAUUGGAACAAUACAGAGACCAACAUGGCUUCUACGCAAGGAAGACAUGCACAUUCAUGAAGCAUCCACCAUUUUG
Neogale vison (American mink) is the source of this 103-nucleotide small nuclear RNA. Lineage: Eukaryota; Metazoa; Chordata; Mammalia; Carnivora; Mustelidae. The record is from Ensembl.